AACGAACGCUGGCGGCAUGCCUAACACAUGCAAGUCGAACGAUACCUUCCGGUUUAGUGGCGCACUUGUUCGUAACGCGUUGGAUCCUGCCUUUAUGUUCUGAAUUUCUCUCUGAAAUAGGUGCUAAUACCUGAUUCUGUUUUCGGACCAAAGCUUUCUCGCCUUUGUAUGGGCCCGCGUUGGAUUAGCUUGUUGGUAGGGGAAAAGCCUACCAAGGCGAUGAUCCAUAUCUGGUCUGAGAGGAGGAUCAGCCACAAUCGGACUGAGACACGGCCCAGACUCCUACGGGAGGGAGGAGUGGGUAAUAUAGGACAAGGGGCGAAAGCCUGAGCAAGCAAUGCCGCGGGAGAGAUGAAGGGCUUAGGGUUGUAAAGCUAGUUUACCCGGGAUGAUAAUGACAGUACCGGGAGAAUAAGCUCCGGCUAACUCCGUG
Molecule: ribosomal RNA, 433 nt
Filed under: uncultured bacterium
Lineage: Bacteria
Description: partial 16S ribosomal RNA
Rfam family: Bacterial small subunit ribosomal RNA
Source: RNAcentral